Molecule: ribosomal RNA, 324 nt
Filed under: uncultured eukaryote
Lineage: Eukaryota
Description: partial 18S ribosomal RNA
Rfam family: Eukaryotic small subunit ribosomal RNA
Source: RNAcentral
CCCUUAGAUGUCCUGGGCUGCACGCGCGCUACACUGAUGUGUCCAGUAAGCACCUAACCUCUUCCGAAAGGAACGGGUAACCUUUGCAAAGCACAUCGUGAUGGGGAUAGAUUAUUGCAAUUAUUAGUCUUGAACGAGGAAUUCCUAGUAAGCACAAGUCAUCAGCUUGUGUUGAUUACGUCCCUGCCCUUUGUACACACCGCCCGUCGCUCCUACCGAUUGAAUGUUCCGGUGAGCUCUUCGGACUGCGCGGUCUGCAGUUUCUGCGUUCCGUUCGGAAAGUUGCGCAAACCUUAACAUUUAGAGGAAGGAGAAGUCGUAACA